AAUUAUGACUGUGGUAAUAAUUAUCCCUUCUACUGUUAUACACAUUUGAUUUUGGUAAAUGAGAAUAAGACAUGGGAGGAGGCUCUUCAGUUCUGCACCACAAACUACACCGGCUUGGCUCAUCUACCUGAUGCCAAUCAAGAACUUCAGGCACAAACAGAGAUUGCACUGACCCAAACUGUCAAUGUGUGGACUGGCUUGCGGUUUAUUGAUGGAAAUUGGUUCUGGCUGACUGGAGUGGCAACGAACUUGAAUAUCCUACCACCAUGUCCAGCUCAGCCUUAUACCUGUGGAGCUUUCAACUCCAUAGCAAAAGCCUGGGAGAACCGAGACUGCAAUGAGAAGCUGAAUUUCCUCUGCUACAAGUAAAGGCUACAGCCCUGCAUUACAUAUUAUUUUCCACUGAAAGAAGAAAUCUCCUGUAGGAGGAUUACAUGUAGCUACAUUUACUUUUAGUGACAUUAUCAUAUGAUUGACUUUGCUUAUACAUAGAUAAUUGGUAAAGUAUUAAAAAUUGAGGGGAGAAAUAA
Molecule: long non-coding RNA, 530 nt
Organism: Clarias gariepinus (North African catfish)
Lineage: Eukaryota; Metazoa; Chordata; Actinopteri; Siluriformes; Clariidae
Exons: 3
Source: RefSeq, a predicted model, not a curated record